RNAcentral lists this ribosomal RNA (373 nucleotides) under uncultured bacterium. RNAcentral describes it as "bacterial SSU rRNA". It matches the Rfam family "Bacterial small subunit ribosomal RNA", at positions 523 to 898 of the family's 1533-position model. The record is from RNAcentral.
ACACGUAAGGGGCGAGCGUUGUUCGGAAUUAUUGGGCGUAAAGGGCGUGUAGGCGGCCUGGUAAGUCUGGUGUGAAAGACCGCAGCUCAACUGCGGGACCGCGCUGGAAACUAUCAGGCUGGAGUCUAAGAGGGGGAACUGGAAUUCCAGGUGUAGGGGUGAAAUCUGUAGAUAUCUGGAAGAACACCGGAGGCGAAGGCGAGUUCCUGGCUAUAGACUGACGCUGAGGCGCGAAAGCGUGGGGAGCGAACAGGAUUAGAUACCCUGGUAGUCCACGCUGUAAACUUUGUGCACUAGGUGUCGGCCUUAAGGGGUCGGUACCGCAGCUAACGCGUUAAGUGCACCGCCUGGGGAGUAUGCUCGCAAGGGUGAA